UACGUAGGGUGCGAGCGUUGUCCGGAAUUAUUGGGCGUAAAGGGCUCGUAGGCGGUUUGUCGCGUCGGGAGUGAAAACGCCGGGCUUAACUCGGUGCUUGCUUUCGAUACGGGCAGACUAGAGGUAUGCAGGGGAGAACGGAAUUCCUGGUGUAGCGGUGAAAUGCGCAGAUAUCAGGAGGAACACCGGUGGCGAAGGCGGUUCUCUGGGAAUGUCCUGACGCUGAGGAGCGAAAGUGUGGGGAGCGAACAGG
Molecule: ribosomal RNA, 253 nt
Filed under: uncultured bacterium
Lineage: Bacteria
Description: partial 16S ribosomal RNA
Rfam family: Bacterial small subunit ribosomal RNA
Source: RNAcentral